CGGGAAGCGAGUGGAUCCCUUCGGGGUGAAGCUCGUGGAACGAGCGGCGGACGGGUGAGUAACACGUGGGCAACCUGCCUGUAAGAUCGGAAUAACCCCGGGAAACCGGGGCUAAUGCCGGGUAAUACUUUUCUUCGCAUGAAGAUAAGUUGAAAGAUGGCUUCUCGCUAUCACUUACAGAUGGGCCCGCGGCGCAUUAGCUAGUUGGUGAGGUAACGGCUCACCAAGGCAACGAUGCGUAGCCGACCUGAGAGGGUGAUCGGCCACACUGGGACUGAGACACGGCCCAGACUCCUACGGGAGGCAGCAGUAGGGAAUCUUCCGCAAUGGACGAAAGUCUGACGGAGCAACGCCGCGUGAACGAUGAAGGUCUUCGGAUCGUAAAGUUCUGUUGUCAGGGAAGAACAAGUACCGUGCGAAUAGAGCGGUACCUUGACGGUACCUGACGAGGAAGCCCCGGCUAACUACGUGCCAGCAGCCGCGGUAAUACGUAGGGGGCAAGCGUUGUCCGGAAUUAUUGGGCGUAAAGCGCGCGCAGGCGGUUCCUUAAGUCUGAUGUGAAAGCCCACGGCUCAACCGUGGAGGGUCAUUGGAAACUGGGGAACUUGAGGACAGAAGAGGAGAGUGGAAUUCCACGUGUAGCGGUGAAAUGCGUAGAUAUGUGGAGGAACACCAGUGGCGAA
RNAcentral lists this ribosomal RNA (683 nucleotides) under Bacillaceae bacterium GUDS1243. RNAcentral's name for it is "bacterial SSU rRNA". It matches the Rfam family "Bacterial small subunit ribosomal RNA", at positions 55 to 719 of the family's 1533-position model. The record is from RNAcentral. Lineage: Bacteria; Bacillati; Bacillota; Bacilli; Caryophanales; Bacillaceae.